UUUAACGCUGGCGGCAGGCCUAACCCAUGCAAGUCGAGCGGAUGAAGGGAGCUUGCUCCUGGAUUCAGCGGCGGACGGGUGAGUAAUGCCUAGGAAUCUGCCUGGUAGUGGGGGAUAACGUCCGGAAACGGGCGCUAAUACCGCAUACGUCCUGAGGGAGAAAGUGGGGGAUCUUCGGACCUCACGCUAUCAGAUGAGCCUAGGUCGGAUUAGCUAGUUGGUGGGGUAAAGGCCUACCAAGGCGACGAUCCGUAACUGGUCUGAGAGGAUGAUCAGUCACACUGGAACUGAGACACGGUCCAGACUCCUACGGGAGGCAGCAGUGGGGAAUAUUGGACAAUGGGCGAAAGCCUGAUCCAGCCAUGCCGCGUGUGUGAAGAAGGUCUUCGGAUUGUAAAGCACUUUAAGUUGGGGGGAAGGGCAGUAAGUUAAUACCUUGCUGUUUUGACGUUACCAACAGAAUAAGCACCGGCUAACUUCGUG
Molecule: ribosomal RNA, 483 nt
Filed under: uncultured bacterium
Lineage: Bacteria
Description: partial 16S ribosomal RNA
Rfam family: Bacterial small subunit ribosomal RNA
Source: RNAcentral